CGCGAGGCGAGGCGUGGCUCAGCAUGAGAAGUUUUAAUCUUCAGGUUCGGUGGCUGCGGGGGUGCUCCCGGGCGGCUGCUGGCGGCGCCCCUGGCUGUGCUUGGGGGGAGGGGUCGGGCCUGCGCCUGAUGGUUUUAUCCCUGGUAUGGGUGGAACGGCCGUGAGCUGUACCAGCUGGUGCCAAAGCAACGAGUCAGGAGUAAGUCUCUCUACAUUUAUGAUUAAUCACCUGUACCUUCUCUUCUUGGAUACUGAAAUCAAUCCACUAUUAUUAGAAAAGCUCCAGGAGCAACGAAACUGAUGUUUCUUGUCCCUGACACAAGUUGAAGACAAGGAAGUCUUACUUCAGACAGAGAUAGGAUGUGAAAAAUUUCCAGGGGACCACAACAUGAAGUACUUGGAUCAAGCUUUUUGAUCAAGGAUGGUAUGACUACUCUGAAGAGUCCCACCAUAGUAAAUAAUACUGUAUUUGCAAAGGAGAAUUUUCAGUGUACUGGAAUGCUGUAUCUUCAAGUUGGAAGCAGUUCUACCCAAUGUUAGAAGAAUAUGAUUUGUUUUCCUGGAUUCCUAUGGUCAAACUGUCGCUGCAUGAGAUUUGUGUACUUGCAUAACCUUUCCAGUUCAUCAUCUAGUGCUAAUAAUGACUUAACAAUGCAAUGUAUGAGCAAAGCAUUCCUAGGGCGGACAUCGUUGUGUUAGCAAAGCUGUGCUAAUGGUCUUUGUGGAUGAAACAAACUACAGUAUAAAAGCAGUUUUCUGGCUUAAGAGAUGUACAUUUACACAGGGACCUAUCAUGUGCCUACACUGUUCGGUGGUCUUCCAUAACAAAGCUGUGCUAGCAAAUACUGUCAUAGUCCAAGAAAAUUCUGGAGGGCUCUGGAAACUACGUGAGGAAACACAGGAUGUGAAGGACUUAAAAAAGAGAGAGAGAGAUAGCCAUUAUCUAAAAGAAUUAAGCCAAAUUUUAAAAUUUACAAAAGGCAAGGCAAGGGAAAAUUCUGAAUAGGUUGGCUUAUAAAAAGCAAAACCGGUGGGUUGAAGAAGUGGCAGUCUUGCUCCAGAAAUCUCCAGCAGUACUGGAAACCAGACAAAAGCUACAGGAGAGCUGCAAACUAGGUUGUUGAAAUCCUAAAAGCUGGCACUGUUUAGGCUGAUUGCAAACUAUUAAAUGUUAUUAGCUGCAACUGCUGUCUUGGACUGCAAAAAAACCAACCAAACAAAAAUUCUAAAAAAUAGAAAAUAUGAACACAGGAGACAAAGCUUGAGCAACUUUCCUCAUGAAGUAGUAGUCCUAACCUCUGGUAGCUCCAUGAGACGUUUUAUUUUAUCACUAUUUUGUAGGCUGAAUACAGGCCACCCGAUUUUAAUUUUGCAUGGCUUAUCUUUGUUAAGGAAAAGAUAGCUGGACAAUUGGACUAUCAAUUAAAUAAAAAAGUUUAAAAUAACAUGCUGAUACUCUGAAUCACAUUAAUAUUCAGAUCUUCCCAGAUAAUAUCACAAAUAAGCCGACAUCUUACUUCCCUGAGCUAAAAUCUAAUUCAAUCUACAUGGAUGUCUAUUACUUUGUACUGUAUAACUUAGUGUAUCAGUACUGAGCCCAUGCAAAAGAAGGGCUUUUUUAAAAAAGUGACAGAUGUUCUAUGUGCACUUAAGCUGUUUUUCAAUACAAUUAGACCUGUCAUUUACAUAUUUGGCUGAUGUGGUUUUGGAGAUAUCUAUGACCAGAAAGUUGUC
This is a long non-coding RNA of Falco peregrinus (peregrine falcon), 1734 nucleotides long. RefSeq lists it as uncharacterized. The transcript has 3 exons. NCBI's taxonomy places the organism in Eukaryota, Metazoa, Chordata, Aves, Falconiformes, Falconidae. The record is from RefSeq and is a predicted model, not a curated record.